This 4328-nucleotide long non-coding RNA is filed under the name Carica papaya (papaya). RNAcentral's name for it is "long non-coding RNA (CPAP_LNC003471)". Lineage: Eukaryota; Viridiplantae; Streptophyta; Magnoliopsida; Brassicales; Caricaceae. The record is from RNAcentral.
AAAAGCAUUACUUAAUUUUUACAUAUCAAACUAAAGUAACCUUAGAUUUGGCUUACAUACAAUUCUCCAAGAACAAAUGGCAUGAAUCCUUUUCCAAGUAUGAGUAAGUGGCUUAACCCUUUCUCACUAUAAUUUAUUAUGCAACUCUUAAAGUAAUUAAUUUGCACAAAACCUUGGAACUAGGCUUAUAUAUUUAUAUAUAUAUAUAUAUAUAUAUAUAUAUAUAGCAAAGAAGAUGACUGUCUCUUUUUAAAAUUUUAAUUUUAAUAAUUUACAAGCAAAAACCUUGAGAAAUUAACACAAUCUAUGAGAAAAAGAAAAAACAAAAAGCAUGAGAAAAAAAUAUGUUUUAGUACUACUCUACAAUAUAGUAUUGAAGGCUGAGUGUUGCAGAAAGUAAUUAGCUAAUGAGUCCUAACAAAGAAAAUACUCAAUUCUGGUCCCUGUGCACCAUCUGGGUUUAUCAUGUAUAAAGCUUCAGAGUCUUUAGACCCAAUCACCCUCUCAAAUCUUGCUCUCAUGUAAGUCAACUCUCCAUCUGCCGUUUCUUUCUGGUCAUUUGGGCCUGGAAGCACUCCUGCUCCCAUUGAAACUCCCCUCAAGACCUGCAUAACAUGAAGCUCAUCAUCCGACAUUUGCUUUCUCCGGAUCGAGUACCCAACUUUUCUUCCAUUGCAAUAAACUGCCCAUACGAACUCCUCCAGCAGUUUCUUCCUAUGCGUCUUUGUUUCGCUCUCCAGCGCAAUCCUGACAAUGUCCGACGCCAUUUCCUUCUGAAGUGCAGUGGUGAGCAUCGGCAGCUCUAUCACGAACAUAGGCACGCAAUGAGGAUCUUCUUGAAUUGCUAGACAAACUCGGCCUUUGCGGUAGCCGAAAAUUGUACCGGUUGUGGCAUUGUCUUUGAGCAUAGGCUUUCUGGGUCUGCCUAACAAAGCAACCAUCUUGCACCCUGAGGUUAACAUGGGGAAUAGCUUGAACAUCUUGAGUAACCCACCGGAGGACUUGGACGCCCGCUUCUCUCCUGGACCAUGGCGGAGGAGGGACAGAAUUGCCGGGUUGUCCAUUUGGAAAAAUGGACUGGAAUGGACAGACGGCAUUUUGGGUACUCCGGUUUUCUUCCUUGGUAAAGGUUUAAGUUGAAGAAGCAAAAGGGUUAUUGAAAUUUGAUUGAAGGAAUCAAAAGAUCAAAUUCAGAGUGUCAAAAAAUGAUGAAGAAACAAGGGCAGAUUGGCGUUUUAAAGGGUGUAAGAGGAGAUAGAUAUAGAAGUUGUAGGAGGUUAAAAAUGGAAAAAGGGAAGGUGGUUGUGUUGUCCUUGGAAUCUUUUGAAGUGGGGAAUUGAAGAGAGAGAGAGAGAGAGAGAGAGAGAGUGUGAACAAGUUGGUUAAGAGAAAACAGAGAAUGAGAUUGAUAAAGACCAUGUUUAGUGAUGAGAUAAGGGAGAAGGGUCACACCACAAGUUGUGGGGGAAGGAGGAGGGAAGGGGGAGAAAAAAAUAGCUCAAAAAGAUUAAAAAAAAAAAGAGAGAAAAAAAAAGUUAAGUGGUAAUGUUUGGUUUAGCAUGUGCAACUCUGAUCAUCACAUACCGCAUCAACAUCAUUUGCUUUAUACUUUUCCAAAAAACCCAUCACAACUCCUCACUAAUUAUUGAAGGUGCACUUCAUCUCUCCCUCAAAACAUCUCCUGUUCAUCCAUCCAUGCAUCCUCUUUUUUUUUCCUUUUGCUUUUGCUUCUCAAACUCUCUCUCUUUGCGCCUCCAUAGUUCAGAGUAAUUGUCAUGUGUUCUAAAAUCAUUAAGAGAUUUUGUUAACUAAUCUAUGUUGUUGAGGUACCUAGAUAGAUUCAUCUAACUUUCUUUCUUUUAAAUCUGUGAGCCCAUUUUGCUUUGUUGGAGUGAAGGCAACAGACAAGUGCAUGUAUUUCUAUAUUUCUUUGUUGUUUGUUGAUUUAUCAAUCUUGAGUUUGGUUUAUAAUUGGGGGGGGGGGUCGGAGGGGAGCAGCAGAAGAAGCAUGCAGUGCGAAGUAGCCGAGAAAAGCUUGCCCUUUUAGCGAUGAGGAAUUGGCGGUGCAUGAAGAGCCACCGUCACGCCUGUGGCACAGCAAAACACACUGUCAAAGAUGUUAGUAACUCUUUCCACGCUCCAUAAAUUAUUUUUAAAAAGUCAACAGUUUAAUAAUUAAUAUCAGAUAGCUAGGUAAAAUAAAUCGAAAUUAAAUAAUAUCAGAUUAUUUACACAUCUAGGUGAAAUAAUUUAAUCAACUUAAUCACUAAUUUUCUACCAAUGAUAAUUUGAUUGACAAAUAUAAAGUGUAAAGAACAAAAUGAUAAUGGAUUUUUUCUAGGAACAUAAUGAUGUGAAUGUAAAUUGUAAAGAAGUAUUCAUUUGCCUGUCUUAAUAAGUGACUCUAGAAAAAUUAUUUCCUAUAAUGGUAUUAUUGCAAUGUGAUGUAAUAUUUUUUUGUUGUGUAUUUAUUAAUUUAUUACUUUGGUAUGAAAAUUUUUAUUUAUCACUUCAGUGUUUAUCAGGGUUCUUGACUUUUUCCAAUAAUGUACAUAAUCUGUUGAACAGAAUGGGGUUUCNNNCCAUUUAGGCUGUUUGGCGGCAUAUGGUUUUUAGCUACAUAAUUAUUUUUUUAGAGUAAAUUUGCUUUUCAAUCACUAAUGGGAAUUUGAUACUUUUAAGCUUUGAAAAUACGAAGAUAGAAACUUUUCCAUAUAAUUUAUUGCAUUCUUUUGGAUUGCUUUUUUAGCCUUUAGCAUAAGCUGAGUUUGACAUUAUAAUAAUUAAAAUUAAAUCAAGGGGUUAAGUAUGGUCUAAAUGAUUAUUUAAGCUUAAACUGGUUUUUUGCUUCCUUCUAACCAUUGUCCGUAUAUUAUUAUUGGGAUUGCGGCCUCAUAGUUGUUGAUUUAUCUACAAUUACAAAUGGGAUUUAGGGGGGAAAAAAAAGGGAAGAAAAAGAGAUUAAGUAUCAUUAAGCCAUGAUUAAUUAAAUAUAAAAAAAUCACAGAAAAAGCUCAACCAUGUUUCUUAGAUGCUGACCCUACAUUUGAUGAGUUAAGUUCAAAUGAUCAAGUAUAAAAUACUCUUAUUCCUUCUUAAAUAUAAAAGAUGGAUAUGCUAAUAUAAUCUUACAUCAGGCUGACUGUCCAGAUUAAAAUAAUCCAAUUAAGUACGAUAAUUAAACUUUAAUUAAAACCCUGCUAAACAAAUUUAAAAGAACAUUGAAAAGUGGGUCAGCUUGUAUAUAUAAUAUACACAUGCUAAAAUAAUGAUUUGGUUGAUAUAUUAUUAACUUUUAUUCAAAAUUUAGUGUAUACUUGAAUCUGUUACUGUAACUUUGAUAAUUUUCUCACACUAUAAAAAAUGUGCUCUGCACAAACACCUGCAUGUUCAUGAAAUUAAUUAAUCACGUAAUUUACUAUUGUAACGAUUUUCACCACUGAUUAUAUAUAGACCUGGUGGCCGAAGCAAAUCCCAAGAACUUGCUUCUCCACGGUUUCUAGGACUUGGAGGAGAAAAUAGAGUUUGAGAAUCUGGCAAUCGUUGGUUAUAGGUGUUUUGAGGGCUGCCGCUAACGACGAAGCCGUCGUAAUUAUGGAGUUCAUUCAUGUCGGAUAACUCUCCUUCUACCAUUCUGAGCAUUUUCCACUUUUCUCCUUCCCAAAUGCUCCCCGAAGAUGUUCAAAUAACCCCCACAUACUUUCUUCACGUAAUCUGAAUCCAGAAGCCUGAAUCGUCUCUAAUAUAUUGAUUCUCGUCGAUGAAAAUAGCGCAGGCCGUCGUGAUACACUGCUUUCCAGAGAAGGGUCUCGUGGAUUAAUCUGAAGACGAGAAAAUUACAGGAGAAGGAGCAUUUCCAGAGGAUGUAGGAGAUGAGUUUGAGCUUGAUGUAUGCCAUGGGGGAGGUGAGAGAAGUAAGAGAAAGAAGAACGGUCGGGAAACUUGUUUUGGGGAUUUGGAAAAUUAAAAGUGUAUUAAAUUUAAUUGAUUUUUUUUUUUUAAAUUUGUGAAUUAGUUUAAGCUAAUUUACAUAUAAAAUUUUUAAAUAUCACACUUCAGAUAUUAGACUAAAUAAUUUUUUUUUUUUAAAAUAUAAUGAUUAAAUUAAUUAAAAAUUAAAAAAGAGAUUAAUUUAUACAAAACUUAAUAAUACAAGUAUCAUAUCAUCAUUUUAGUGUGUGUAUAUAUAUAUAUUUCAACCAAAAAGCGUGCUAAUGAAUUUGAUAUUCCAGCAUGGCUACUAAUAAAACAAUAGUGAAAGAAUUGGUUUCACAUUUAGAUGUUUAUCUCGUAGACAUUGAAGGUGUCUUCUUCUUCUAACUCAUGUG